GAUGAACGCUGGCGGCGUGCCUAAUACAUGCAAGUCGAGCGAACGGACGAUAAGCUUGCUUCUCUGAUGUUAGCGGCGGACGGGUGAGUAACACGUGGAUAACCUACCUAUAAGACUGGGAUAACUUCGGGAAACCGGAGCUAAUACCGGAUAAUAUUUUGAACCGCAUUGUUCAAAAGUGAAAGACGGUCUUGCUGUCACUUAUAGAUGGAUCCGCGCUGCAUUAGCUAGUUGGUAAGGUAACGGCUUACCAAGGCAACGAUGCAUAGCCGACCUGAGAGGGUGAUCGGCCACACUGGAACUGAGACACGGUCCAGACUCCUACGGGAGGCAGCAGUAGGGAAUCUUCCGAAAUGGGCGAAAGCCUGACGGAGCAACGCCGCGUGAGUGAUGAAGGUCUUCGGAUCGUAAAACUCUGUUAUUAGGGAAGAACAUAUGUGUAAGUAACUGUGCACAUCUUGACGGUACCUAAUCAGAAAGCCACGGCUAACUACGUG
Molecule: ribosomal RNA, 497 nt
Filed under: uncultured bacterium
Lineage: Bacteria
Description: partial 16S ribosomal RNA
Rfam family: Bacterial small subunit ribosomal RNA
Source: RNAcentral